UAAAAGAGAUGGUGAAGGGUCAUUGGGAGGUUGAAGAGCCUCCCAGGAGGAUUUUCUUGCAGAAAGGUUUGAUGCAGGGUGAGCUGUCGUGAAGAAAUACUAUAGACUGAGGAGUGAGAGAGACACAGUGAGAGCAGGAACACAAGCAG
Long non-coding RNA from Leptonychotes weddellii (Weddell seal), 149 nucleotides. RefSeq lists it as uncharacterized. NCBI's taxonomy places the organism in Eukaryota, Metazoa, Chordata, Mammalia, Carnivora, Phocidae. The record is from RefSeq and is a predicted model, not a curated record.